This 496-nucleotide ribosomal RNA is filed under the name uncultured bacterium. RNAcentral describes it as "partial 16S ribosomal RNA". It matches the Rfam family "Bacterial small subunit ribosomal RNA", at positions 28 to 507 of the family's 1533-position model. The record is from RNAcentral.
GAUGAACGCUGGCGGCGUGCCUAAUACAUGCAAGUCGAGCGAACGGACGAGAAGCUUGCUUCUCUGAUGUUAGCGGCGGACGGGUGAGUAACACGUGGAUAACCUACCUAUAAGACUGGGAUAACUUCGGGAAACCGGAGUUAAUACCGGAUAAUAUUUUGAACCGCAUGGUUCAAAAGUGAAAGACGGUCUUGCUGUCACUUAUAGAUGGAUCCGCGCUGCAUUAGCUAGUUGGUAAGGUAACGGCUUACCAAGGCAACGAUGCAUAGCCGACCUGAGAGGGUGAUCGGCCACACUGGAACUGAGACACGUUCCAGACUCCUACGGGAGGCAGCAGUAGGGAAUCUUCCGCAAUGGGCGAAAGCCUGACGGAGCAACGCCGCGUGAGUGAUGAAGGUCUUCGAUCGUAAAACUCUGUUAUUAGGGAAGAACAUAUGUGUAAGUAACUGUGCACAUCUUGACGGUACCUAAUCAGAAAGCCACGGCUAACUACGUG